This 234-nucleotide ribosomal RNA is filed under the name uncultured Candidatus Saccharibacteria bacterium. Its description in RNAcentral is "partial 16S ribosomal RNA". It matches the Rfam family "Bacterial small subunit ribosomal RNA", at positions 584 to 818 of the family's 1533-position model. Lineage: Bacteria; Candidatus Saccharimonadota. The record is from RNAcentral.
UAAGUAGGGCGUGAAAGCGCGUGGCUCAACCAUAUACACAUGUCCUAAACUGCUAAGCUAGAAUAUAAAGAGGUCGCUGGAAUUCCUUGUGUAGGAGUGAAAUCCGUAGAUAUAAGGAGGAACACCGAUGGCGUAGGCAGGCGACUGGUCUAUUAUUGACACUAAGGCACGAAAGCGUGGGUAGCAAACGGGAUUAGGUACCCCGGUAGUCCACGCCGUAAACUAUGGAUGCUA